This 305-nucleotide long non-coding RNA is filed under the name Elaeis guineensis (African oil palm). Its description in RNAcentral is "long non-coding RNA (EGUI_LNC056898)". Lineage: Eukaryota; Viridiplantae; Streptophyta; Magnoliopsida; Arecales; Arecaceae. The record is from RNAcentral.
GGAGAAGCUUAGAUAUUUUCAAGGCUGCUGACGAGUCUACUGUUGUCAGAUGCCUCAGGCGCUGAUGCCACAGGCGGAAGUCAUCUGCUAUAGAAGCUCGGAUGGAGACUUUCCGUUGGUGAAGUCCGAUAGGAGUCCGAUUGCUAGAGAAGUCCGUCUGGGAUUUGCCUGAUGUGGAAGCUCGUCUGAAGAUUAUCCAUCGAAGAAGUCUGGUUUCAUGAAGAAUCUGGCGGAGGGUCGGCCGGUGGCAGACUUCGGAUGGCGUUGGGGAGGUUCGACAGAUACCGGAGGCAAUCGAUCGUUGU